Molecule: long non-coding RNA, 452 nt
Filed under: Ananas comosus (pineapple)
Lineage: Eukaryota; Viridiplantae; Streptophyta; Magnoliopsida; Poales; Bromeliaceae
Description: long non-coding RNA (ACOM_LNC022667)
Source: RNAcentral
GAGUAUUUGAAGUAUCUAGAAAAUAAAUUAUGCGAUUUUUCGAUAUUAUUUGCUUAGUGAACGAAGGGGCUCAAAAUCAACGGCUGAAAUUAAAAAUCUUACAAAACGUGAUAAUAUGACUUUAAAAUUUUAGAUCAAAGAUAUUGAUCAUGUUUUAUAUAGUAUAAAGAAUUUUCUAUCAAAAUUUUAUGUGAUUUGAAUAUUUCUAUACCGUUAAACUUGCAAACGGCCUCACUACGGUCAUUAAAAUUAUUAAUUUUGAGCCCCUUCGAUCAUUAGGCAAAUGAUAUCGAAAAAUCAUAAAAUUUAUUUUUUAGAUACUUCAAAUACUCUAGAUCAAGUUUAACUGAACCGAUCGACGAUUCGAAAGUCGCAACAUCGAAAACGAUCUGGAAGCACGGAAGGCUCCGCGCUUCCAGAAGCAUAGUAGCCUCACUCUAAUAACAUUACCU